AGAGUUUGAUCCUGGCUCAGAACGAACGCUGGCGGCGUGCCUAACACAUGCAAGUCGUACGAGAAAAUCCGCUUCGGCGGGUGAGUAGAGUGGCGCACGGGUGAGUAACGCGUGGAUAAUCUGCCUUUAAGCUGGGAAUAACUCACCGAAAGGUGGGCUAAUACCCGAUAAUGCUAUGGGACUUCGGUUUUAUAGCCAAAGAGAGCCUCUACAUGUAAGCCUUCACUUAAAGAUGAGUCCGCGUACCAUUAGCUAGUUGGUAGGGUAAUGGCCUACCAAGGCGACGAUGGUUAGCUGGUCUGAGAGGAUGAUCAGCCACACUGGAACUGAGACACGGUCCAGACUCCUACGGGAGGCAGCAGUGAGGAAUAUUGCGCAAUGGGGGCAACCCUGACGCAGCAACGCCGCGUGAGUGAGGAAGGUCUUCGGAUCGUAAAGCUCUGUCGGGUGGGAAGAAGUGUGCAUAGGUUAAUAGCUUGUGCACUUGACGGUACCGCCAGAGGAAGCACCGGCUAACUCCGUGCCAGCAGCCGCGGUAAUACGGGGGGUGCGAGCGUUGUUCGGAAUCAUUGGGCGUAAAGAGCGUGUAGGCGGCUAGGCAAGUCAGAUGUGAAAUCCCUGGGCUUAACCCAGGAAGUGCAUUUGAAACUGCUUAGCUUGAGUAAGGAAGAGGGAAGUGGAAUUCCUGGUGUAGAGGUGAAAUUCGUAGAUAUCAGGAGGAACACCGGUGGCGAAGGCGACUUCCUGGUCCUAUACUGACGCUGAGACGCGAGAGCGUGGGGAGCAAACAGGAUUAGAUACCCUGGUAGUCCACGCCGUAAACGAU
Molecule: ribosomal RNA, 826 nt
Filed under: uncultured bacterium
Lineage: Bacteria
Description: bacterial SSU rRNA
Rfam family: Bacterial small subunit ribosomal RNA
Source: RNAcentral